UACGGAGGGUGCAAGCGUUAUCCGGAUUCACUGGGUUUAAAGGGUGCGUAGGUGGGCUAGUAAGUCCGUGGUGAAAUCUCCAAGCUUAACUUGGAAACUGCCGUGGAUACUAUUAGUCUUGAAUAUUGUGGAGGUAAGCGGAAUAUGUCAUGUAGCGGUGAAAUGCUUAGAUAUGACAUAGAACACCGAUAGCGAAGGCAGCUUGCUACACAAUCAUUCACACUGAGGCACGAAAGCGUGGGGAUCAAACAGG
RNAcentral lists this ribosomal RNA (253 nucleotides) under uncultured bacterium. RNAcentral describes it as "partial 16S ribosomal RNA". It matches the Rfam family "Bacterial small subunit ribosomal RNA", at positions 524 to 776 of the family's 1533-position model. The record is from RNAcentral.